Myotis daubentonii (Daubenton's bat) is the source of this 695-nucleotide long non-coding RNA. RefSeq lists it as uncharacterized. NCBI's taxonomy places the organism in Eukaryota, Metazoa, Chordata, Mammalia, Chiroptera, Vespertilionidae. The record is from RefSeq and is a predicted model, not a curated record.
ACAUUAAAGAGGUCUGAGCAGCAGAAGAAGCAGCAGGAGGCCAAGAAAAUGCACUGACAGGAGAGGAAAGCGCUGCGUUGCCCGGCCGGCCAUCUCAAGUCCAGGCGCAAGCGAGGGCGGCCCUUUCCCUGAGAGGACGGACCACACGGACUCGGGAGCUCCGUCCUCCGCUGGUCAUUGGGAGCACGCGGUGUCCACUGCCGCCUCCGGGGUCAAGAUGAGCAACUUGUCCCGACGCCUCCGGGGUCAGAGCGGCGUCCCCAGGGCGCAAAUGGUGUGCUCCUCCCCCUGAAGAUCAUCCUUUUCCCGGUUUUCAUCAAGUGGACCAGGUGGUUGGUUUUUCACCUUGUGACACGUGAGCCAUGACCUGGGGGUCCUGUGCUGACAUUGAAGGCUGAGCAUGUCCCCAAGCUUCCUCUCACAGGCCGCCUCUCACAGUGGACCACCCGGAGCACACGUGGCUCAGCUCCUGUGCAGCCUUGGUCAUGCAUGUGUGUGUGUGUGUGUGUGCGCUCAUGUGUAUGUGUGUGUGUGUGUGAGAGCUCGUGUGUGUUAUGUGUGUGUGCAUGUGUGUGUGUAAGUAUGCUGGUAGGUGUGCUGCUGGUCUAUAUAUCAGUUGGGAUUUUUAAAAAAAUAUUUUUAUACCAAGAGAAUAUAAAGUAAUGGUAAUAACCUAAAACAAGAAAUGAAAGCUA